Salvia miltiorrhiza (redroot sage) is the source of this 628-nucleotide long non-coding RNA. RefSeq lists it as uncharacterized. The transcript has 3 exons. Lineage: Eukaryota; Viridiplantae; Streptophyta; Magnoliopsida; Lamiales; Lamiaceae. The record is from RefSeq and is a predicted model, not a curated record.
CACUCUAGUUGGCACAACAAUUAAAGAAGAGAGAUAGAAAUGUCCAUAAAGUUAGUGGAAAGCAAAAUAAGUGUGCUGCCACCCCACUACCUAUUGCUCCCCACCUAUUCAAACCACCUCCACCAUCUCGAUUCUUUAAGGCUACUAAGCCAACACUCCUUCAAGCAAACAAUUCAGCAGCAACCUACCUCCAUUCAUUCUUUACUCACCUGUAUUUGUUAAAGUAGCAACCUUAUUUCAGUUCAUCUCAUACAAAUCAACAACAACAGCCAUCAACAACAAACAAUUACAGGUCAAGCGCAAGAGUAAGAACUACACAAGGAGUUAGAGUACCUUAGCAAAACUUUGCUAUCAGGUUGAGUUGUGAUGGGCGAUGAAGUGUUGCUGAGUGGAGUUUUUGUUGAACUUAAAGUAGGCUCAGAAAGGAUACAUGUCUUCAUACAUGUAUCUCAGUUAUGAUUCCGCUGUAAACACUGAUUAUUUCAGUUACACCUUCCGUUGCAAACUCUGAUAAUGUUUUAGCCAAGCCCCUAACGAUGCCUUUUUCCUUUUAAGGAAUAUAACGCUUAUACAAGUUCGUUGAGUACCCUUUUUAUGCGAACUAUGCCUUUUUCCUUUUUAAGGAAUA